This 732-nucleotide ribosomal RNA is filed under the name Oenococcus oeni. Its description in RNAcentral is "bacterial SSU rRNA". It matches the Rfam family "Bacterial small subunit ribosomal RNA", at positions 807 to 1533 of the family's 1533-position model. The record is from RNAcentral. Lineage: Bacteria; Bacillati; Bacillota; Bacilli; Lactobacillales; Lactobacillaceae.
CGAUGGGUGCUAGUUGUUAAGAGGUUUCCGCCUCCUAGUGACGUAGCAAACGCAUUAAGCACCCCGCCUGAGGAGUACGGCCGCAAGGCUAAAACUUAAAGGAAUUGACGGGGACCCGCACAAGCGGUGGAGCAUGUGGUUUAAUUCGAAGAUACGCGAAAAACCUUACCAGGUCUUGACAUACCAAUGAUCGCUUUUGUAAUGAAAGCUUUUCUUCGGAACAUUGGAUACAGGUGGUGCAUGGUCGUCGUCAGCUCGUGUCGUGAGAUGUUGGGUUAAGUCCCGCAACGAGCGCAACCCUUGUUAUUAGUUGCCAGCAUUUAGUUGGGCACUCUAAUGAGACUGCCGGUGAUAAACCGGAGGAAGGUGGGGACGACGUCAGAUCAUCAUGCCCCUUAUGACCUGGGCAACACACGUGCUACAAUGGGAAGUACAACGAGUCGCAAACCGGCGACGGUAAGCUAAUCUCUUAAAACUUCUCUCAGUUCGGACUGGAGUCUGCAACUCGACUCCACGAAGGCGGAAUCGCUAGUAAUCGCGAAUCAGCAUGUCGCGGUGAAUACGUUCCCGGGUCUUGUACACACCGCCCGUCAAAUCAUGGGAGUCGGAAGUACCCAAAGUCGCUUGGCUAACUUUUAGAGGCCGGUGCCUAAGGUAAAAUCGAUGACUGGGAUUAAGUCGUAACAAGGUAGCCGUAGGAGAACCUGCGGCUGGAUCACCUCCUUUCUAAGG